RNAcentral lists this ribosomal RNA (162 nucleotides) under uncultured bacterium. RNAcentral's name for it is "partial 16S ribosomal RNA". The record is from RNAcentral.
CGUACAUGGACGCAGCUGAUGCAGCCUGCCGCGUGAGUGAUGAGGCCUUCGGGUUGUAAGCUCUUUCGGCCGGGACGAUAUCGUGCGCUCUAGCAGAAGACGCGCCUGAUAACUCCGUGCCAGCAGCCGCCGUAAUACUACGUGCCAGCAGCCGCGGUAAUA